AGGGUUUGAUCAUGGCUCAGGACGAACGCUGGCGGCGUGCCUAACACAUGCAAGUCGAACGGGACGCAUUGGAACAAGACUUCGGUCAAGGGAAUAUGCGUUUAGUGGCGAACGGGUGAGUAACGCGUGAGCAACCUGCCCUUCAGAGGGGGACAACAGUUGGAAACGACUGCUAAUACCGCAUGACAUACGAAGGAGGCAUCUUCUUUGUAUCAAAGAUUUAUCGCUGAAGGAUGGGCUCGCGUCUGAUUAGAUAGUUGGUGGGGUAACGGCCUACCAAGUCGACGAUCAGUAGCCGGACUGAGAGGUUGAACGGCCACAUUGGGACUGAGAUACGGCCCAG
Molecule: ribosomal RNA, 343 nt
Filed under: uncultured bacterium
Lineage: Bacteria
Description: bacterial SSU rRNA
Rfam family: Bacterial small subunit ribosomal RNA
Source: RNAcentral